Non-coding RNA from Meleagris gallopavo (turkey), 3224 nucleotides. The record is from RefSeq and is a predicted model, not a curated record. NCBI's taxonomy places the organism in Eukaryota, Metazoa, Chordata, Aves, Galliformes, Phasianidae.
AACGAUAAGUUAAAACAUCAUUUAAAUGCCUACAGACAGGUUUCCAAGUUUAAAGUGUUUGUACAUAUGUAUACAUAAGUGUUUCAUCUGCGCACAAUUUUUAAUAAUUGCUAGAAACUUACGCACGUGUCUCUGAAAUUAUUUCUUGAUUUUUGUCUCCCACUUAUCAGAUAAUUAGUAUCUUAUUUCAAAAAAAAAUCUGGUAAGAAAAAAAUAAUCCAGAGCUAUUUUCAUUUUUAAGUUUAAGGCCUGGCCUGGCCACUACUUGAGAAUAAGAGGAGUUUUUUCUUUCUUAGCAUGGGCUACAACAGCUACUCUGUAAACAGAAUGUCUUAAACAGGACAUAAUAGUGAGAAAUAUUUGUAAUUUAUGAAACUAUGUAACUUCACAAACCGCAGUUGUAAAAAUAUACAUAGAAACACUGUUUAGCAUGUGAGCUGGGUAGCGUUACUGUUUUGCUAUGUUACUUAAAACUGCACAAUCUGUUUGCUUUUUUCUUAAUAGUAUUUUUCUUAUUCUCUUAAGCACAAGGUAGAAAAAAGAAAAUUCAGUUAAAAUGCUCAUAGAUUUAAAACACUGCAGAGAAUAUUUUGCAGCCUCCUGGCACCAGUAUUUAGGAAGUCAUGACCAUUUAUGCCACCAAUCUCUUUUCAUAUGUAAUCUACUAAAUCCUGUGAAAAAUAACUUGAAGAGUGGUAAUAAUGCAUCUCCUGAUCUUUCUCCCACUAUCCUUGUCUCCAGACCAACAGUUUGAAAUUGUCACUGAUCUUCCAUCAGCACUUCCUCUGUUUCCCUGCUGAUAAAGCAUCACGAUGCAAAAGCCUCCAGCUUGUCAGCCCUGGUUGGAGACACUGUUUUACCAGAUUAAAUACUAACUACUAUACUUCCCACCAGGAGAGACAGCUCCAUCCUGCCUGUCAUUAAAUAGAGAACAAAGCCUAGUGGCUACAGUCCAGAAAUCACAAGUCUAACUGUGAAUACUUCACUUUUGUGCAAAGGUUUAUAUAGCAAGGUUUAUGCAUCAGCUUAAUUUCACACCACAUCGUUAUUUUGAGCAUCCCUAAAAUCUUAAUAAAUGUCAGUGCUGGGUAGUUAAAGUAUUUAAUUAAAUGGACAUACUGAAAUAGAGUUCCCAAGUAAAUGGAAGAUAAUUUAACUUGUAAAAAAUCUAUUUAUUAAUGAAGAAAUUCUGGAAACUUAUUUCUGUGUCGGGGAACUGUAUUUACUGUGCCUUGUAAGAUCUUUUGCUUGUGUUCUAGCACUGUUUUAGCUUAGUUUAAGAGUCUAUAUGCAGAUUAAGAGUUUAUAUAGAUUAAGAGUUUAUAUGCAGCUUUUCUACAGGGAAGGCGGUCUUCAUACAAAUGACUGCACGAAGACUGAUCUCAUUUGUUACACACUUACAGGUUCUCUGGGCUGUGAUGUUUUUAAUAAGCUGUAGAAUACCUUGAGCAGCUUCUUCAGAGCACAUCGAUUCUCAAAAAUUUUGAAAUAUUCCCUACAGUGUUUAUUUCUCUCUAGCACUAUUUAUCUAAAUACAGUAACUGAGACCAAGCAACUGUUGCUGGGAUGUGAGCUCCUGCCAAGUAACAUUGGGAUAGGUCUGUCAAUUGUUCAAAUGAAAACACUUUAUUCUCUCAGUUGGCAACUACUUUCAGCUUCCACUCAUUGUAAAUAUUAAAAUCAGUGGAAACUGGAUGGACUCCAUCCUUAACAGUUUAGCAAAUCAGGCCCAAAUGGUCAAAUUUCUGUAAAAAGUUGCUAACUAGCAAACGUAGAAAGUCCAAGUACUGUUUGAAAUUUAAAGCUGAGCUCUACUAGCUAAAUUCAGAAAUAGAAUUUUACCCCCUUUGAUUCUAUUUAUUUUUUGAAGCAUUCACUUGACAACUUUUGGCACUUUGAGACUUUAAGCACUUCACUGCAUUACCAAAACAAAAAAAUAGGUUGACUACGAUGCUAUACUUUGGUAUAGCAUCAGUUGUAAAACUGAAUUUUAGUAUCUUGUAUAAAAACUUCUCAACCUUAAAUCAGCUGUGUUCUCUUUGCCAAAGGAUCAUUCCUUUCUAAUAGCAUCUGAUUUUGACUGUCUUUCCUAAAGUCUAAUUUCAUAGCACUUCAGUGUGUAAAGAUUAACUUACACUGCUUUAAGGUACAGACUGUCAAAGCUGAGGAAUCAUAUUCUGAUUACAGUCACAAUGGUCCUCGGUUUGGGAAUUUAACUGAUGUUUUGUGUGUCCGUUUGCAUCAAGUAAAAUUAAUAAUAAUCCAAAAUGCCUCUGUAGGAGGCUUCUAUAUAACUGGAGAAAUCUUCCUUAAAGCAAAAUGAGCUCGCUGUUGCGGCGUGCUACGCGUUUUGUGACAUACUGCAGGGGGCAGUCCUCCAAUUAAAUGCAUCCAACUGAAUGUCGUUGCGAAGUCUGACUGUGUGAUGGCAGCUACCCACAGCUUCUGUCCAGGAGCCCUACUAAGAAUUUGUAGCAAGAAUGUUCUUCUUUAAGAUGAAUUUCACUGCUCUUUCACGUUAUAUUCAUAGAAGAACUAUACAAAUUUUACGAGAUGAAUGUGUUAGAGCUUCUAGUUAAGAAAUUUUACAUUGAUAUUUUUUCUCUCUUACAAUUUGGCAUUUUAUUCUGAUUUUUUUUUCCCUAAAUUAAGUAACAUCAGCAUACAAUUUAUUAAAGGCAUACAAACUACUGGCCCAUUUUCUUUUAAUUUUUUGUUUCCGUUUCACUACAUCUUAAUAAAUUUUUGUAUUUCAGUACAGGUCAAACAGUGGGUAACGUAUACAGUCAUACACUGUACUGUAAUGAAUCAAGUGGGACAUUACAAACUUCUUUUCUUCACUACAGUUGUCUGAACUCACACAACCUGUAUCUUCAAAGCUGAUGCUGAAAAGUCCCUUUUCUGUAUCACUUGUAUACAGUGUUUGUUAUUGUUUGUUUGUUUUUUUCUUGCCAGAUUAUCACAAAAUAGUCCAGUUUUUAAAAAUACUCAGAGAAGCCCAGCAUACACACAGUUCCUGACCACGUUACUUGAAGAACUCCAUUUCAAAAAUGAAGAUCUGGAAAGUUUAACAAGAAUAUUUAGAUAAACAGCCCACCUGAAUGAACAAGGUGAUCAUCGUAACAUCUCCCACUACCUGAAAGAGCUGCAUGGAGAAAAACAAACAUCUUCAGUUGUUGGAAUGUCUCUUUUUUAAUGAAAAAUAAAAUUAAGUAUUCAUUGUA